CAUUAAGAAGCUAUAUAAGCAUUAACCUUUUAAGUUAAAGACUAGGAGUUUAAAUCUCCUCUUAAUGA
This 68-nucleotide transfer RNA is filed under the name Prionodon linsang (banded linsang). RNAcentral's name for it is "tRNA-Lys". It matches the Rfam family "tRNA". Rfam says of the family: Transfer RNA (tRNA) molecules are approximately 80 nucleotides in length. Their secondary structure includes four short double-helical elements and three loops (D, anti-codon, and T loops). Lineage: Eukaryota; Metazoa; Chordata; Mammalia; Carnivora; Viverridae. The record is from RNAcentral.